This 206-nucleotide ribosomal RNA is filed under the name Planctomycetaceae bacterium. Its description in RNAcentral is "partial 23S ribosomal RNA". It matches the Rfam family "Bacterial large subunit ribosomal RNA", at positions 2719 to 2925 of the family's 2925-position model. Lineage: Bacteria; Pseudomonadati; Planctomycetota; Planctomycetia; Planctomycetales; Planctomycetaceae. The record is from RNAcentral.
AGUUGUCGCGCUAGCGGCACGGCUGGAUAGCUAACUACGGAAAGGAUAAACGCUGAAAGCAUCUAAGCGUGAAGCCCGCUCCAAGAUUAGGUUUCGAUUACCAAUAGGUAUGAAGUCCCCUGGAAGACUACCAGGUUGAUAGGCCGGAUGUGUAAGCUCAGUAAUGGGUUCAGCUAACCGGUACUAAAGGACGACUGCUUGGCCAC